GACGAACGCUGGCGGCGUGCUUAACACAUGCAAGUCGAACGGAAAGGCCCUGCUUUUGUGGGGUGCUCGAGUGGCGAACGGGUGAGUAACACGUGAGUAACCUGCCCUUGUCUUUGGGAUAACUUCAGGAAACUGGGGCUAAUACCGGAUAGGAGCUCCUGCUGCAUGGUGGGGGUUGGAAAGUUUCGGCGGUUGGGGAUGGACUCGCGGCUUAUCAGCUUGUUGGUGGGGUAGUGGCUUACCAAGGCUUUGACGGGUAGCCGGCAUGAGAGGGUGACCGGCCACAUUGGGACUGAGAUACGGCCCAGACUCCUACGGGAGGCAGCAGUGGGGAAUAUUGCACAAUGGGCGGAAGCCUGAUGUAGCAACGCCGCGUGCGGGAUGACGGCCUUCGGGUUGUAAACCGCUUUCGCCUGUGACGAAGCGUGAGUGACGGUAAUGGGUAAAGAAGCACCGGCUAACUACGUG
RNAcentral lists this ribosomal RNA (468 nucleotides) under uncultured bacterium. RNAcentral describes it as "partial 16S ribosomal RNA". It matches the Rfam family "Bacterial small subunit ribosomal RNA", at positions 28 to 507 of the family's 1533-position model. The record is from RNAcentral.